GACGAGGGGUCCAAGCGUUGUUCGGAAUUACUGGGCGUAAAGGGCGCGUAGGCGGCAUGGCAAGUCAGGAGUGAAAGGCCUGGGCUCAACCGAGGAACUGCUUUUGAUACUGCCAAGCUAGAGUGCGGAAGGGGCAACUGGAAUUCCCAGUGUAGCGGUGAAAUGCGUAGAUAUCAGGAGGAACACCUGCGGUGUAGACGGCUUACUGGACCAUAACUGACGCUGAGGCACGAAAGCGUGGGUAGCAAACAGG
Molecule: ribosomal RNA, 253 nt
Filed under: uncultured bacterium
Lineage: Bacteria
Description: partial 16S ribosomal RNA
Rfam family: Bacterial small subunit ribosomal RNA
Source: RNAcentral